CCAUCACCGAAGCAAAUUUAUUUCAUAUUUUGUCCAUAUUUAAGCCAACCGAGAUUGUCAUCUCCCUUUGUAUUCCACAUAAGAAACACAGUCCUACAGGUUUGAAACAUGAGAGUGAGUAAAUAAUAAUAUAACCUUAACCACUGUAUGAACUAUUCCCCUUUUCAAUUCUAUUGCAUGUAUGCUACAUACAUUUUUUAUUUAAUAUUUACUUACAGGCCUGUUAGGUAUGUUUAAUGUCAGCAGUUGACAUUUGCGAAUCUGCGGGGGUUAUUGCUUGGAUUUCUUUGUUGGGAGUGUAAAAACACACCCGCCUAACUUAUAUAGCCUAGGUUACAGCUGAGUGUUUAUACAAACUACGACUAAAGUACGAUCACGUAGCGAAAUAAAUGCAUUUAAAGUUUGGAUAAGCUGAAACCAGACACACGGAAGUGAGAACGAGUAUCGCACAGCACAUCUGAGGCUCUGUGUUUAGAUGAACAGCUGAACAUUCCUCAGUGAGUGAGCGACCUCUGAUGGACGGAGCUCGAGCUCCUGAAUCACAGCGCGCGCCGUUCACGGACGGAGGAUCUGUCCAGAGGAUCCUGACAGCCCGAGGCACUGUCGACAAACUUCACCUAGGGGCAAAAACGUGAGAAAGGAGGACAAACAAAAUAAAAAAGUCAUCUCAGUGCACAAGAUAGUCGAUAGAGUGAGCAGAACAAGACAGGGCAACCUUGAGCGGGUGAAAAAGACAGUUUGAAGAAGUACACAGGCUCCUGUGUGUGACCUAUCGUCUGUGUCCCUGGGAAAGCGGCUCUGCUUUGGCCCAAUGCAGAGAUCAUCUGUCAGUUCAUGUCACAUGAGGACGUGUGUCUGUCUGUUCUCUGAUCCAGCAUCAGUCUGCUGAAGGCCUCAAGCGUUCAUCACCCUGAAACCCAGCAGGGCUUUCACACUGUCCCACUCCUCUGAUUCUGCCUCUUCUCCUCCUGCGUGCCUCUCUCAGCCCUUCCUGGAGACCCCAGGGCACCUCAUCCCUAAUGGAGAGCAGGGAGAGGGAUGCGGGACCCUCGCUCAGGAGAUCUGCCUCGCUCCUGGGAACCUGAAGGAGGAUCGUCCGCAGGCACAGGCCUUCCAUGAUGUCUCUACUCUCACAGACCUGUGCUCCAGUGUGGACCUGCCAGAGGUGGAGAUUGUCAGCUUGCUCACAGAAGAAUUGCCCAAAUACACUCUGCGGGCAGACCAUGUGUUUGGGUACGAGCAUGACGACUGGCUGCACACACCUCUGCUGCCACCAGAGAGCGCUCUUGAACUCACUCAGGAGCAGAUCGACGAGACGCUCAAGUACUUCUUGCUGUGUUCAGAGAGAGUUGGUCAAAUCACAAGGACGUAU
This is a long non-coding RNA of Carassius auratus (goldfish), 1372 nucleotides long. RefSeq lists it as uncharacterized. The record is from RefSeq and is a predicted model, not a curated record. The transcript has 6 exons. NCBI's taxonomy places the organism in Eukaryota, Metazoa, Chordata, Actinopteri, Cypriniformes, Cyprinidae.